UGGGACAGAAUAUGUACCCCCAAAUCAGCAUGAGGGAUGAACCUUAUUAAUCUCAUGCUCUGGAACAAAGCUGCAAUUGCAAAGACUUGCUGGGAUCUUGAUCACAAAAAGGACAAACUGUGGAUAAGAUGGAUUACUGCUUAUUAUAAAAGAUAAGCUGAUAGAGGACAUGCCAAUUCCUACACAAGCCAGCUGGAUGGUCCGGAAAAUUAUAGCCUCAAGAGAUAUACUGCAGACUUUCCAACACUGGAGGGGUCAGAUUUGUUCCGUUAGACAGUUAUACCACUUGCAACUAGGUGAUCUGCCGAGAGUUCCAUGGAAAAAUCUGAUCAUCAACAUUUCCAACACUGGAGGAGUCAGAUUUUUUCCAUUAGACAGUUAUAUCACUUACAGCUAGGUGAUCUGCCAAAAGUUCCAUGAAAGAAUCUGAUCAUCAACAAUCAGGCAAGACCAAGAACAGUCUUCAAUUUGUGGCUGGCUCUACAAGACAGGCUACCAACUAAAGACAGAUUGGCAAGAUGGGGAAUGAAUGUUGAUCAGGAGUGCAUAUUAUGCCAUAAUCACAGAGAGACCAGAGAUCAUCUUAUGCAAUCAUGCCCUUUCUCUGCUGAACUUUGGGGGCAAGUUAUGCACUGGCUACAUGAGGGUUAUCCUCCAGCUUGUACUUGGGAUCAAAAAUUACACUGGCUCAUAAGUAAAGCAAAAGAAAAAUCUUGUCGAGCAAAUAUCUUCAAAAUGGUAAUUGCUGAAGUCACUUAUGCUGUCUGGAUGGAGAGGAACUCGAGAAUUUUUAACAACACUUUUCGUAA
This 809-nucleotide long non-coding RNA is filed under the name Nicotiana benthamiana. RNAcentral's name for it is "long non-coding RNA (NBEN_LNC029598)". The record is from RNAcentral. Lineage: Eukaryota; Viridiplantae; Streptophyta; Magnoliopsida; Solanales; Solanaceae.